This is a long non-coding RNA of Jaculus jaculus (lesser Egyptian jerboa), 793 nucleotides long. RefSeq lists it as uncharacterized. NCBI's taxonomy places the organism in Eukaryota, Metazoa, Chordata, Mammalia, Rodentia, Dipodidae. The record is from RefSeq and is a predicted model, not a curated record. The transcript is spliced from 5 exons.
CUCGGCGUUUCUUCGCCCGGAGUUCUCCAUCCCCAGGAUCCCGGGCUCGCGGGGGCGCGGAGAAGAGGACCCAGGAAAGAAUCCAUGCCUGUCUCUGCGCCGCGAAGGGUUGCCUCACAUGGCCUGGUGAGCAGAGUGAUCCUCCAGCCCGCUCCUCCUGCCAAGGACAGACGUGUACGCUUCCUCAAGGCCAGAGGAGGCACUUGAGACAAAGGGACAAAGAAGGAACGGGGUGACCAUCGAGGAGUUUCAUGUACAACUAACCAUAGCACUUGGCAGCCGUGUGACUUUCAGCCAAGCCCGGCACGACUCUGAACCUCACGGGCAGUGAUGAAGGACUGGGAGGAUGUUCAGACUGCGCCUGCACACAGAGCCUGUACUACAUGCAUGACUAAUAGGAACGAGACUCUUGCUUCCUUGAAGACAUCAUCCUGGCAGGAAGCUGGUGAGCGGAGACUCCUGGGAAAUCCCAUCUGGGGCCCUUGCCUGGAGCCAAGAGGGCCUCCAGCGCCUGCUUGUUUUAUAGGUCCUGACUGGGCUCUUGUUCAGAAUGGCAGCUUUUAGAGAACAGGCCAAACACUUCCCUGUGGCGUUUUCUCUGCAUUGAUCAGGACGCUGUCUGCUCCUUUCUGCCAAGAGGAAAGAAACCAGAAAUAGGAAGACCUUAAGGCCACAGUCCUCAGCUCACCUGGAAUCCCUGGACCACAUGCAGCAUUGACUGGAUGUCAGGCCCCGGGGUGUCUGGAAGCACACUCUAAGGGCAUUGGUAUCUUUGGACAGAUAUGUUCCGUGA